CAGUCGAACGGGACUAUACUGGAAGAAGUUUUCGGAUGGAUUUCGGUAUAGUUUAGUGGCGGACGGGUGAGUAACACGUGAGCAACCUGCCUUCGAGAGGGGAAUAACGGCUGGAAACGGUCGCUAAUACCGCAUAACAUACCGGGAGGACAUCCUGCUGGUAUCAAAGAUUUUAUCGCUCGAAGAUGGGCUCGCGUCCGAUUAGGUAGUUGGUGAGGUAACGGCUCACCAAGCCGACGAUCGGUAGCCGGACUGAGAGGUUGAACGGCCACAUUGGGACUGAGACACGGCCCAGACUCCUACGGGAGGCAGCAGUGGGGGAUAUUGCACAAUGGGGGAAACCCUGAUGCAGCGACGCCGCGUGUGGGAAGACGGUCCUCUGGAUUGUAAACCACUGUCCCCAGGGACGAAGAUGACGGUACCUGGGGAGGAAGCUCCGGCUAACUACGUGCCAGCAGCCGCGGUAAUACGUAGGGAGCGAGCGUUGUCCGGAAUUACUGGGUGUAAAGGGAGCGUAGGCGGGGAUGCAAGUUGGGUGUCAAAACUACCGGCUCAACUGGUAGUCGCACUCAAAACUGCAGCUCUUGAGUGAAGUAGAGGCAGGCGGAAUUCCUAGUGUAGCGGUGAAAUGCGUAGAUAUUAGGAGGAACACCAGUGGCGAAGGCGGCCUGCUGGGCUUUUACUGACGCUGAGGCUCGAAAGUGUGGGGAGCAAACAGGAUUAGAUACCCUGGUAGUCCACACCGUAAACGAUGAUUACUAGGUGUGGGGGGUCUGACCCCUUC
This 784-nucleotide ribosomal RNA is filed under the name uncultured bacterium. RNAcentral describes it as "bacterial SSU rRNA". It matches the Rfam family "Bacterial small subunit ribosomal RNA", at positions 59 to 841 of the family's 1533-position model. The record is from RNAcentral.